CUACGGGACGCUGCAGUGGGGAAUAUUGGACAAUGGGGGAAACCCUGAUCCAGCAAUGCCGCGUGUGUGAAGAAGGCCUGCGGGUUGUAAAGCACUUUCGGUUGGGAGGACUGCUUCUAGCACUAAUAUUGUUGGAAGUUGACGUUACCUUCAGAAGAAGCACCGGCUAACUCCGUGCCAGCAGCCGCGGUAAUACGGAGGGUGCAAGCAUUAAUCGGAAUUACUGGGGCGUAAAGCGCGCGUAGGCGGCUAGAUCAGUCGGGUGUGAAAGCCCCGGGCUUAACCUGGGAACUGCAUCCGAUACUGUCUAGCUUGAGUACAGGAGAGGAGAGUGGAAUUCCACAUGUAGCGGUGAAAUGCGUAGAUAUGUGGAGGAACACCAAUGGCGAAGGCAGCUCUCUGGCCUGAUACUGACGCUGAGGUGCGAAAGCGUGGGGAGCAAACAGGAUUAGAUACCCUCGUAGUC
Molecule: ribosomal RNA, 466 nt
Filed under: uncultured bacterium
Lineage: Bacteria
Description: partial 16S ribosomal RNA
Rfam family: Bacterial small subunit ribosomal RNA
Source: RNAcentral